UGCAAAGAAGCUAUCGAUAAUGUUCUCAACCAGAAAAAGUUCCCAUGAGAGAUGUCUCAGAAAUGCUAGUUCAAAUGGGCAGAUCCAUGCUGAGUAAACAACAAGCACAAGCAAGAACGUCUCCCAGAUUCUGGUAAGGGAUCAUAAGGAGAAAUGAUGAAUUUCCUCAACUUGAUAGAUUGGUUUGCUCUUGCUCCUAGAGAUGGGAGUAGAUCAUUGUGGAAUAUAUUGCUAACAUCUUCCAUGGGAGUGUUUAACUCAAACAAUGAUAUACCAAGCUUGAUAUCCGUGUACUAUUUAUGUUGCAGAGUGAUGGUUGUGGAUGCUCUGCAUAAAUAGGAGUUUGGUUCGUCUCCAAGAAAGAAUAGGAUCAGUAAAGAUGGAAGUGUGCUGAUUACAGAAGAAUUCCCGAAAGGCUGUGUCAAUGAAACUGUCUGACAACUAUAAUAAAAAAAGGAGGUUCCUUUCUAGAGUGUGAAGAAAUUGCUCAGGUUGCAUGAAUUUAGUUUGGCCUUCCUCACAAGUCGCAACCCACCCGCUGCCUUCUAGAUGAUGAUCUUUUGUCACAUGCUGCCUGUGAGUUUGCACCUUUGCUAGAAGCAUGGCUCAAGACUUGGCUGACAUUUGUUGUACCUUUUACUUCAUCACAUGUAAUUAUUUGACUUCUUUUGUUCCUUGCGUCACCCUAAGCUUUGCUAACUCGUGAUCCUGGGUUCUAGAGCUGAGCACCUGGAAAUGAAAAUGUUGAUUGGUGAAGAAUGGAGAUAACUCAUGGGGUUCUUGCCUCACUGCUGCUAAAUUGCACCUUCCCUGUUAUUACCCA
Molecule: long non-coding RNA, 823 nt
Organism: Setaria italica (foxtail millet)
Lineage: Eukaryota; Viridiplantae; Streptophyta; Magnoliopsida; Poales; Poaceae
Exons: 3
Source: RefSeq, a predicted model, not a curated record